Molecule: long non-coding RNA, 1845 nt
Organism: Arachis duranensis
Lineage: Eukaryota; Viridiplantae; Streptophyta; Magnoliopsida; Fabales; Fabaceae
Exons: 4
Source: RefSeq, a predicted model, not a curated record
UUUUAAUUACUCUUUUUACUUUAUUUAAUUGUUUAUUUUGCUUUUACUUUUCAUAUAUAGAUUUAUUAUAAUUCAUCAUAGGUUCUUUUUGAAUUUAAGUGAUUUUUUAGGUUAUAUUUUAUCAAUGAUAGUUUUAUUUUGUUUAGUGUAUGUUUUUUUAGUCUGUGUUUAAUAUAAUAAUUGUAAAUAUCUAUUCUAUUAUAUAAAAAUUAAAUUUCUGCAUUUAAUGAUAAAACUGUCGUGACAUGUUUCUCAUGGUGUUUUUCCACUACUAGAAAACUAGUUAUUACAAACGGAUAUUUCUGACGAAUUUUAUUCCAUAGAAAUACAGACGGAAUUUCAGAGGAUUUUUUUUGUCAGAAAACAAAAAAAUGAAUUAGCAUAACUUACAGACGGAAAGAGAAUCCAUUGAUAAUUCUAUCAGAAAAAUUAAUUUUUUUUUCAUGAGAAAUAGUUAUAGACGAAAAAUUCGUCUGUAAUUAAAUGAACAAAAACGCUGCAUUUUAUUAAAUUAUUACAGCCGUCAGUAAUUUAAAACUUUCCGUUGGAAAUAUUGAUUUAAACCUAAUUUAACCUGAGUGUCUCGAGCUUCAUUCACACUCCACACAAGCUUCUUCCUCUCUCUGUCGCACGAACAGCUUCUUCUCUCCGUCGCACGAGCUUUUUCCGCCGUUGUCGCCAUCCGCGUCGCACGAGCUUUCUCCGCCGCCGCUCUCGUUGCAUCUGCUCCCUUCAUCGCCGUCGUCACAGAACUCUCUACGCCGCCGCUCUUGUCGCGUUUGCUCCCUUAGUGAAUUUCAGGUUUAUCAAUUAUUUUAUUAUCAGUGAAGAAAGAGAUUUUUUGUCGGUCAUUUCUGCAGCAAUUCAUGAAACUCGGUGGUUGUUGAAUGGCGAAGCUUGAAAUGAUAGUUGACUUCGUUGGUAACUUCUCCGGCAAAGACCAGCUUCCCUAGUGUGACCCUGACAUCGUCGCUGCAAGACAACCAAAUCCAAUCAUAUACAGGAGAUUGCGCCGCGGAUCAGUGGCAGCGAGAAUUUCAGGCAAACAAACUGAGGCAAGACACUGCUUGACAACCAAAUCCAAUGAUUCUGAGGAUUCUUUAACUGAUGGAAGCAGAAGUAACCUUUUGGAAGUUAAUGAAUAUGGUGUACUACAAAAUAUCACAUUGUGAUGGUCGGAUAACUAACCCAGAGCAAAGAAUUGCAAGCGAUGUGCCAAGGUUCUGCUCAGAGUUAAGUGAAAUUGUUCGGGAUGAUUUAACUGCACUAACUGAUGGACUUCUAUACACUUGGCGGCUGUGUUCAUAUGCAAGUCCAAAAUAUGUCUUCUGGAUAUUGGUACUACCAUAAUUGAAGUUUUCUGUUAUGCAGAUGUCUCAUUGACAGUUACUGUUAACAUUUUUUCUAGAUAUGUUGCUGAUGGCUGGAGACUGUCAGACAAAUGUUACGCAGAAAUCAGUCUUUAUAUUCUCAAUAAAUGCUGUUUCCUCUUUAGGGCUAUGUACUUGUAGCUGGGACCACAAUCAGAAAAUUCUCUCCUCCAUUUGGUAAACUAAUGUCCAGAGAGCAGCAAUUGGAAGGAGACUAUCGACAGCUUCACUCGUGAUUGAGGACUCACUCGGAAAGUAUAGCAUUUUAUGGUGGAGAGAUGAGAGAAGAAGCCCAUAUUCAGCAGAAGUUUAAGACCUUGGUUAGGCAUUUGAGUAGUGUCCUACAUGACCAUUGGUGGUUUGGCAUGAUUCAGGACUUUUUAUUGAAGUACCUUGGUGCUGCAGUUGCUGUUAUUCUGAUAAUUGAGCCUUUCUUUUCUGGCCAUUUUUUCUCUUCCAAGUAAUGCUUGCCAAU